Long non-coding RNA from Dioscorea cayenensis subsp. rotundata (Guinea yam), 2322 nucleotides. RefSeq lists it as uncharacterized. Lineage: Eukaryota; Viridiplantae; Streptophyta; Magnoliopsida; Dioscoreales; Dioscoreaceae. The transcript has 7 exons. The record is from RefSeq and is a predicted model, not a curated record.
ACCAUCCAUUCACGCACAUGUUCGUCGGUCUGUUCCCUCAAAACCCUAUCCCUUUCUCUGAAACCCUCCUAAUGUUUCAAUCCUCUCCAAUGGCGGCGACAGACGAACCCUCCGAUCACUCCUCGUUUCCAUCGUAUUCGGUAAACCAUUCGGAUGAUAAUGGCAGCGCCGCCGAAGCCGGAGAAAUCUAAGUAGCACUCGUAGGUGUCGUCAUCGCCAUCGUCUUCAGCGUCGCCAUUGGAGCUCGAAGUGUAGCUCUUGCCCUCAUCGAAGUUUGGGUUUGAUUUUCACUUGGUACAGUUCUUCUUUGCUUGCAUGCCUUCAUUAGUAUGCGCGCUAUGAAAUCAGAAGGAUGGAAGCGGUAAUUGCUCUUCAAUUCUUUGGUUGAGGCCGCAACACCAAAGCAAGCAAUGUUCAGCAGGUGAAGAGGUCUCUGGUGAUUGCGUUUUCUCCAGUUCUGGACAAUGCAAAGACAGUAGGGCUGAUUUCUCUUCUGGGAGCAAUGAUGGGGAUGAUAAUGGACAGGGCAUCACCAUUCAAACCAGAUAGUAGUCACCGGUGAGAUCUCAGGCCCUUCCUUUUCUCUUCUAUAUCUCUACAGUGAUCCAAGUUCUUGUUCCUAAUUUUAAUCGUAUUAAUGGUAUUGUUUGUUAGAUCUGGAGAUGAGGCCUUCUCCGAUGGUGUCAUUGAUGUGUUUUGGUGUUUUUCUUGGGAUUUUGUUAUUAGAUUCAUAGUUUUUCUCUUUAAAUUCUCACUGUUAAGAUGAUUUUUAUGAUUGAAAUUAAAGGAAUGGUCAUGAACUUGAUUACAUCUCAAAUGUUUUCAUUGAAGUGUUUAAUCUUUGAUGAUAAGUUUGAUAGUAAUGGCUUUGAUCUUUCUUAGUUUUGUUGAAUCCUGAGCAUUUUCUGUUUUUCCUAUGAACCAUGCAUUAGCUAUUACUUGUGAUUUGCAAGUAAGCAAUUGAUUUGCCUGCUUUUAAUUCCUCAAGUUACAUUGCCAUUGUUUUGAUGUUGCUUUUGAUCAUAUAUGAUGACUUUGAGCUAAGAUUUGAUGUGCUUUAUGUGGAAAGGCGUUUUUGAGAAUUAAAAUUGCUUGUAUUAGUAUAAGAAUGGUAAGGUCAUGAAUUGGAGUCUUCAUUAUGAUGUAUUUGUUUAGUUUGAUUCAUCAUUUAGGACCCAUGAGGUGCAAUGAAUACCUAAAAAAGUGUUUUAUGAAUAUCUUUUUUAUUUUUUUUUAGGAAUGUAACAUCAUAUUGAAGUAUAAGAAUGAGGCCAGUGAAUUAGAGUGAAUGCAUUUGUAGCAGUUGUUGCCUUGGGGCCUUGCUUUUGAUGUAUUAUUUUGUUUUCAACUGUUCUAUUAGAGCCUAUAGUAUAUGGUUUUAGGGUAUUGAAUGCCUUAUUGGGAGGGAUUAUAGGAUUCAAGUUACAAUUAAUAGAAGAAAGAUUGAUUUUGGAGUGUCAUUUUUUCUUUGUGUGUACUUAACAUUGUAUUUAAAUUAAAGUAUGAUAAGGUCGGUGACUCGGUUUGUAUGUAUUUGCCAUAGAUGUUGUCUUAUAUUUCAAUUGUAGAUAGUAGUCAUGAACAUGCUCAUCAGCGUGUCAAUGGUUGUAGAGGAAUACGCAGUUUGAACUGGAUCCCGAAAGACUUGGUUACAUCGAGCUUUGGCAGCUAGAGACAUUGCUACUAUAGAAGGACAUGUACUUGAGCUACAGUACCAAUACCAAUGAGGUAUCGGUGGAGAAAGGGGUGUUGAUGGGGUUGGUAGUGAGGGAUGGAAGGAAAGUGUAUGUGUUGGUAGGGGAGAAGGAGGAUGAUGAUGAUGAUAGUGGUGAUGAUGUCGAUGGGGGAAUUUUGGGAAGGAAAUUUAGGAUUGAAGAGGUGGUAGAUUUGGGGAAGAAUGGAGGAAAUGAUAUGAUUUUGGCGAUGGUUCUGUUAGGUUUUGGUUUGGCUUAUUUUUAGUAUUGGAGAUUUCAGAUGGGAAAGCUCGCUUCCUCUUUGAACAAGAAGAGAGCUUGAUCCUAGGACUAUGUGUGUGAGGAGCUUGAUUGAACUGUUAGAUUAGAUGAUAUAUUCAGACCAAAAAGUUUGAUUUGUGAUUUUACAGCAAAACAGUGAAGAAAUGUUUGUGACUAAUGAAUUCCCAGUGUUCUGCUACUGUGAGUUGAGGACAGGAAAUCAGCUGGAUUUUUUUUUUUUUUAAAAGCAAUUUUUUUCAGAUUAUUUGUAUUUUUUUCUCUAUUUAAUUUGAAAUGUUAUGUUAUUAUGUCUUCAACAUUUUAAUGUUAAAUAAAGCUGGUUGCUGGUUUGCAACAUUCAUAACCA